UACAUAGGGGGCAAGCGUUAUCCGGAAUUAUUGGGUGUAAAGGGUGCGUAGACGGGAAAUUAAGUUAGUUGUGAAAUACCUUGGCUCAACUAAGGAACUGCAACUAAAACUGGUUUUCUUGAGUACAGGAGAGGAGAGUGGAAUUCCUAGUGUAGCGGUGAAAUGCGUAGAUAUUAGGAGGAACACCAGUGGCGAAGGCGACUUUCUGGACAGAAACUGACGUUGAGGCACGAAAGUGUGGGGAGCAAACA
RNAcentral lists this ribosomal RNA (251 nucleotides) under uncultured bacterium. RNAcentral's name for it is "partial 16S ribosomal RNA". It matches the Rfam family "Bacterial small subunit ribosomal RNA", at positions 524 to 774 of the family's 1533-position model. The record is from RNAcentral.